RNAcentral lists this ribosomal RNA (500 nucleotides) under uncultured Myrionecta. RNAcentral's name for it is "SSU rRNA". It matches the Rfam family "Eukaryotic small subunit ribosomal RNA", at positions 40 to 600 of the family's 1831-position model. Lineage: Eukaryota; Ciliophora; Litostomatea; Cyclotrichida; Mesodiniidae. The record is from RNAcentral.
AUGAUUCAGAUAGCCAUGCACGUCUAAGUACAAACUAAAUGAUGGUGAAACUGCAAAUGGCUCAUUACAACGGUUAUGAUGUACCCGGGAGUUCCGAUGGAUAUUUCCAGUAACACUAGAACUAAUACAUGUCCCUGCGUUUAUUAGUUUCGCACAGUCCGUCGCUGAGUCAUGGUAAACAGUUGAUCGACUCGACGUCCCGGAACAGUUUCCGCCCCAUCAGCUUCGAUGGUUGGGUAUUGGCCUACCAUUGCAACAACGGGUAACGAGGAAUUAGGGUUUGAUUUCGGAGAGGGAGCCUGAGAAACGGCUACCACAUCUACGGAUGGCAGCAGGCGCGCAAAUUACCCAAUGCAGACACUGUGAGGUAGUGACGAGAAAUAAUAAAGCGGGACUUCUGUUUCGCUAUUAUAAUGAGGAAUAACCAAAGGUCAUUCCGAUUAGCAACUGAUGGGAAAGUCUGGUGCCAGCAGCCGCGGUAAUACCAGCGUCAGUAGCAU